GGAUGCGAUCAUACCAGCACUAAAGCACCGGUUCCCAUUAGAACUUCGAAGUUUGAGCGUGCUUGGGCGAGAGUAGUACUAGGAUGGAUGACUUCCUGGGAUGUCCUCGUGUUGCAUCCC
RNAcentral lists this ribosomal RNA (120 nucleotides) under Oryza sativa Japonica Group (Japanese rice). The record is from RNAcentral. Lineage: Eukaryota; Viridiplantae; Streptophyta; Magnoliopsida; Poales; Poaceae.